AUUCCAUGAUCAGGGAACUUUCGUAAAAACUCUUUGUACCUUUCCCAUGCCUCAUACAGGGACUCAUCACCCAUUUGUUGGAAGGUUGUGAUCUCAUUCCUGAACUU
Gossypium hirsutum (cotton) is the source of this 107-nucleotide non-coding RNA. The record is from Rfam. NCBI's taxonomy places the organism in Eukaryota, Viridiplantae, Streptophyta, Magnoliopsida, Malvales, Malvaceae.